RNAcentral lists this ribosomal RNA (253 nucleotides) under uncultured bacterium. RNAcentral describes it as "partial 16S ribosomal RNA". It matches the Rfam family "Bacterial small subunit ribosomal RNA", at positions 524 to 776 of the family's 1533-position model. The record is from RNAcentral.
UACGAAGGGGGCUAGCGUUGUUCGGAAUCACUGGGCGUAAAGCGCACGUAGGCGGAUUUUUAAGUCAGGGGUGAAAUCCCGAGGCUCAACCUCGGAACUGCCUUUGAUACUGGGGAUCUUGAGUCCGGGAGAGGUGAGUGGAACUGCGAGUGUAGAGGUGAAAUUCGUAGAUAUUCGCAAGAACACCAGUGGCGAAGGCGGCUCACUGGCCCGGUACUGACGCUGAGGUGCGAAAGCGUGGGGAGCAAACAGG